This 114-nucleotide small RNA is filed under the name Rugositalea oryzae. RNAcentral describes it as "Rhodoplanes sp. Z2-YC6860 Rhizobiales sRNA Atu_At1". It matches the Rfam family "Rhizobiales sRNA Atu_At1". The record is from Rfam by way of RNAcentral. Lineage: Bacteria; Pseudomonadati; Pseudomonadota; Alphaproteobacteria; Hyphomicrobiales; Nitrobacteraceae.
ACACGCCGGGUGGCAACCGGUCACAAUGGGGAACGACGGACGCAGUUGAUUUUGCCGGUUUCUAACUGCGGCAGCAGCGCAUCGGUACGCGCCGGCGUCUAACCUGUUCCCGGC